AUGGACCUCGCGUCCACUGCGGGUCUGAGCGCGCCGUCCGCGCCCACCUGACAGCUGCUCGCGACGUUGUGUUAGCU
This 77-nucleotide small RNA is filed under the name Xanthomonas oryzae. RNAcentral describes it as "sX9". It matches the Rfam family "Xanthomonas sRNA sX9". RNAcentral also lists the same sequence under 1 other name. Lineage: Bacteria; Pseudomonadati; Pseudomonadota; Gammaproteobacteria; Lysobacterales; Lysobacteraceae. The record is from RNAcentral.